UCCACCACCUCCUUGGGCAGUCCAUUCCAAUGCUUGACCACUCUUUCAGAAAAGUAGUAUUUAAAAAAAGAUUUAAGUCUUUAAAGGUGUUUACCUCACAACCUUUAUUUCCUCAAAGUGCAGCUGUAUACUUGGAAAUGUAUUUAAGUUCAGAUCCAUAAAUGGAGAGCAAUAGUAGUAUAUCUCCAGGGCUGUUGUCAAGUGACUGCAGCCUGGCAGUCAUUGUGAUGUGCACCAGUGGAGUUGUAGCUCAAAAAUGUCUCCUGCCUUUAUAUUUUGUACUGACCCAAAUUAUUUUAGUGCAUCCUUUUAUUGAAGUCGUAAGCUCUUUUCAAGUGCAUACGUGUUCUGUCUUUUUAUCAGAAGUCAAGUAUAUUGCAAAUCUUGGCAUAGAUAGCUUUUCUUUAACGCUUAACUUUAUUUAGAAAACAAACUAAGGCAUUGCUAGAAUAGAACUGGUAAUGUGGAGAUGACAGCAGCUAUGUAAGGUUAGCCUGCAAAGGAAAGUUUGUCUGAAAUAAGAUGGGCUAUAAAUCUGAAGCAUCAUAUUUGUUCCUGGCUUUAUAUAUAUAUUUUUGUCAAUUUUUAUAUGGCUUUGAGGGUUAGACCCAGUAAGAUACAUGUCUGUUAGAAGCUAGAAGCUUUGAUGGCAAAGUUUGUGUUACUGAACUGUAGUGCUGGAUCAGAAGCGCUCUGCUGGGUGUUGUGUUGUGCCUUAUUCGCUGAAUGAAGAGCCACAGAUUUUGAAAUGCUUAUCUGUGCUUGAUUCAAAGCUUCAAUGAGAUACAUCCAGAGCACUGGGAUCACUUCCUGAAUUAAUGUCGUGAUGCUUCCACCUGGGUCCAAGUAACAGUGUAAAACUGGAGGAGAGGUGAUGAUUUCCCACUUUUAAAGCAACGCUUCUUAAAUAUGUAUUUACCACAUACAACUCCAGUGAUCAACAGGCUUUUCAAAACAUUGGAGUAUGAACUCCUGCCAAGUAAAUUAAGUUUAUGAUCUGUGUGGUGUUUGGCGGUUACCAAAUAAACUUGGGUGCUAUGUUGAAAGUAAUUUUCUGAGUGGAGGUGGUUACACAAACCACUGGGUAAAGAGCUGCAUGCAGUCACUCACCAGCCAUAACUGGCAGCAGAGAUGCUUCUGUUCAGUCCCCACAUGCAAUUUCUGCUAUUUGUGUUACGGGAAUGGAGGUGAAUGGACUGACAUGGGUGCUAAUUUUAGGGGUGGAAAGCAAGGAGAAAUUAGAGAUGUACUAGGAAUCCUAGUUUGGGAAGAUAAAUUGCAAGACGGCAUGAUAGAAAUGGAUGUUUACCUCCUCUUCAUUUCUGUUUCAGCUGUAAGUGUACUUGUAGUGAGCCAUACCCUGCAGUUCCUGCUACCCAAUAAAUCCAGUUUUGGAUAUCAGCUGAGGCUGACCGUAAGUCAGGACAACCUCGCUCAUAUUUCCUCUUUCUGGACUUUUAUUCUCCUGGCUGAAUAAGUUGGUGUGUUCUGCUCUGCAGUGACCAGCUCCAAACAGGAGGCUAUGGGAAGCACUGUCCAGAGCAGCAGAAGGUCUGAGCAGAGCAGUGUCCUGAGAGAGGUGAUGCUUUGGCUUCCUGUAAGAUUGAUCUUGAGGAAUGUCAGGUUUUUUGAUUCUGAACAUGGUGAAUGCAUGAGGCUUCCUCAGACUUGAUGGAAUUUCAGAUGCACAAAGAACUGUCUGUUCAAAUGAUGAAGCAAGCUGUAAUCUAAACAGACAAACAAGGCUACAGGCGCACCGCAACUACCGCUACAGCAAAUUCGACAUAAAAUCUCAAUACGGACUUGAAAAUCUCCUUUAGCCGCAGCAUUGAAAAUCAUGGUGUCAAACUCACUACGUCUGAGAAGAGGAGCAGAGCAGCCGGACCGUCGCCCUCUGGAGGUGUGACUGAUCACGGUUCCACCGCUGGGUGCAGGAGCUUCAGUUCCUCUGGCACGUCUCACCCCAAGGCACGUGAGGUCACCUCCCUGUCUAUACUCAGAAUAAGUUCAAAUUCCUACUUUAGUGUUAUUUUUGCUGUUUUAUUUUUAUAACCCUGUUGAUACAAAAGACCCCAUUCUGAUCAGAUGUGAUUAUGAAUCUCUCUUCCAGAGACAAAAUCUUUUUUUUAAAUAUUCUGCAGGCUUUAAAUUGCUUAAAGCCUCUUUUUUUUUCUUGUACAGUCAGAGCGCUUGAGAUGAAAACCAGCAUGAUAGUUGGGCUCUUGUGAUGCAUUUUUAUGUAAUUAUUAUUCAGAGCUGAACUGUAUUCUAAGUCAGAUGUUUAAAAAACAAAGAAAGUAGCAAUAAUUCUUCAUAUGUUUAUACAAUUGUCCAGUAGCAGAGAUCUUGCUGGAGAUUUGUGCUGCUUACUGUGCAGUUCUAAGGGGAAUGCUUGCUGAAAUGGACAAACCUGAGAGUCUUCUCAUUAAAUAUUGGUCCUUCACCAAGAAUAGUUGCUGGCUUUAAAGGAAGAGAUGCCUCACCCUGAGGGGCGUGGGCCAAGGAGUGGGAGAACACUGUUGUUAAUGCAGCUCAUCAUAAAGGGUUAUGGGGCGAUUCAAAGCAAGUGGUUAUAACAGUCAUAUUUCAUAAAGCAAGCUGAAAAAGAGCAAACCCAGUCCAUGCUGUCAGUCACAAGGAAUGUAGUAUCUGAUCAAACCAAGUUAGCCUUAGAAGCAGGAGCCCAGGUCUAACUGAAAGCAGUGCAUCUGCUGCAGUGCUGGGCUCAGCGAGGGUUUCCUUACCCUGCCAAAACACAUCAGCAGUGUGGAUGCUGAUGAUAUCUUGUGCACUCAGGAGUCACUGGACUUGUCAGAGCCACACCUUUUAUCUGGUGUUUGAUGUAGGAUUAUACAUCCUCAACCUGUGUGUUAGAGGGAAGGACAGAAAGAACAGAACAAGGACAUGCUUUUUGCUAUUAUUUCAUGUUGUACACAGUGCUCUGAUGAUAUUUAAGUGUUACUCACUUCUCCAUGGAUACAUCCAGUGUGACAAACCACCCCUGUUCCAGAGCAGCCCCUCGCACUUCUCAGUGCUUCCUUCUCCAGUCCCUGCUCAUAGACCUUUGGGAGCUGACCGUAGGAGCUGGGUCACAGAACAGAAAGACUUGCCAGUCAUCGUUCACUGAUUACUUUCACAACUGUAACCUUGUUCAGAUAUCUUGUCUUUAUAGAUCCUGCUCUCUUUCUGAUG
Meleagris gallopavo (turkey) is the source of this 3192-nucleotide non-coding RNA. Lineage: Eukaryota; Metazoa; Chordata; Aves; Galliformes; Phasianidae. The record is from RefSeq and is a predicted model, not a curated record.